Molecule: long non-coding RNA, 2111 nt
Organism: Lathyrus oleraceus (garden pea)
Lineage: Eukaryota; Viridiplantae; Streptophyta; Magnoliopsida; Fabales; Fabaceae
Exons: 3
Source: RefSeq, a predicted model, not a curated record
AGCCAUUUUUCGUAUCACAUUACAGUCGUUUGGAUCUGAAGUCAAGUGGGAUUUGAACCAUUAAGGCCCAUACGCCCCUUAUAUGUUACACGAAAAUUUUACUUCAUACCCCUACAUUUAGCCUCAAACCCCAAUAAUUUUUUAAAAACACCAAUUUUAUACUUAACUGUUUUUAGUCAAUUUAUCAUUUCAUUUUUACCAUUCAGUUGAUACUUUCGGAAAUUACACAUUCCACCCUCGCACCGGAACUCCUGGAAAAAGACUUUGGUAUGUAUUUUUUUCAAAUUGGAAGACUAAACGAAAGACAUCUGGAACACUGCAAUUAGUAAACCGGAAGACUUCAACAAAGAGUUAUGGUUCUUUAAUAAAAAAGAAACGUUCCGGAACACUUAUUGAAAGAGUUCUGGUAAACAAAGUGACAUAUACCGAAACUCUUUGUUGAAGUCUUCCGGUAUUGUUUUUAUGUAUUCCGGAACUCUUCUUUGAAGACUUCCGCUUUGCAAUUUUUCUUUUUUGACUUUUUUUGGGGAUUUUUUUUGAAUUUUUUUUAUUGUGCAAGAAUGAAAAAUCUUCCCCAAAUAUGUGUAGAUACUUCUGAUGCAUUUUUUAACGACUGAAAAAUUUGGUACACGAGAAGAGGUGAUAAGAUGGAUUAAAAAGGUUGGAAUCGAUAAUAGAGUAACUGUUAUUAUCACUUGUUCAGAUACUGAAACAGGCAAGAGAGGGAGAAGUAACAAAUUAAUAUUUGGUUGUGAUAAAGGUGGGAAACACAAGAAUAUUGAUAGUGAAACCCAAAGUGCGUCCAAGAAAUGUGGAUGCCCAUUUAAAAUCAGGUCGAAUCCGGUGAAAGAUGGGUCUGGUUGGAAGAUUGAUAUAAAAUAUGGGUUACAUAAUCAUGGUUUACCUAAUAGAUUAGAAUGUCAUUCCUUUAUUGGUAGAUUGACCACAGAUGAGAAGCAAUAUGUCGCUGAUUGGACAAAGAGAUAUGUACCACCUAGACACAUAUUGUUUUCCUUGCAAGACCGAGAUCCUGAUAAUGUCACUCAAAUUACGCAAGUAUACAAGCAUAAAAGUGUGAUACAAAAAGAGAUAAAAGGUCCUAGAAGUGAGAUACAACAUUUUUUAAGCUUAUUGAGGAUGCAGUCUAUGCGUAUUGGAGUAUAAAAAAAGAUGACUCGAAAGUUGUGAGAGAUAUAUUUUGGGUCCAUCCUGAGUCAGUUAAGUUGUUGAAUAUUUUUUCUAUUGUGUUAGUUAUGGAUAGCACCUACAAGACAAACAAAUAUAGACAACCUUUAUUUGAAAUUGUUGGCAUGACAUCAACCGAGUUGAUUUUUGCUGUUGCAUUUGCGUAUAUGGAGUCUGAGCAGACAGAGAAUUUUUGCUGGGUAUUGGAGAAACUAAAAGAAUUGUUUGUGAAGAAAGAUUUGUGUCCACAAGUGAUUUUGACAAAUAGAGAUCUUGCUUUGAUGAAAGCAAUUGAAAUUGUGUUUCCCAGGUCGAUUAAUUUGCUAUGUAGAUUUUACAUUAACAAAAAUGUUGGUACAAAAUGCAAACAACAUGUGGUGAAUAACCUGCAAAAGACGAUAGACACGUUAUGGAUGAAAGUUGUUUGGGCUAGUGAUGAGGUUGAGUAUGGUCAACGGUUGCAUCAACUUGAGCAAGCAUGUGUUGAUUAUAGUGGAUUUAUUAAUUAUGUGAAAGACACAUGGUUGACUCCACAUAGACAUAGAUUUGUUGGAGCAUGAAUUAAUCGAGUGCUACAUUUGGGUAACACAACGACUAAUCGGUUGAAUCUGCUCAUUGGAAGUUAAAGCAGAUGUUAGGAAACAAUAUAUGUGACAUGGUCAAAUGUUGGGAAGCUAUGAAUAACAACUUGAGGUUAACAUGAAAUAGGGGUUUCCGUUGCCACCGGUCACAUUAGAUUGGAAGAAGUUUCGUUGUCAGACAGCAACGUCUUGGAUGUUAGGAUUUGCAGGACGUCUACAACAUUGGCAAUUACUUACGCCUAUAUUAGCAUGAAUAUGUACUCAAAAACAUGAAUAUGUAAUCAAAACAUGAAUAUUAUAUUAUGUCUAUUAUAUUCAAUUCUAAAACUUAAUACAUAAAUCAAU